CACGUAGGGCGCAAGCGUUGUCCGGAAUUAUUGGGCGGAAAGAGCUCGUAGGCGGUCUGUCGCGUCGGUCGUGAAAACUUGGGGCUUAACCCUGAGCUUGCGGUCGAUACGGGCAUGACUGGAGUUCGGCAGGGGAGACUGGAAUUCCUGGUGUAGCGGUGAAAUGCGCAGAUAUCAGGAGGAACACCGGUGGCGAAGGCGGGUCUCUGGGCCGAUACUGACGCUGAGGAGCGAAAGCGUGGGGAGCGAACAGG
RNAcentral lists this ribosomal RNA (254 nucleotides) under uncultured bacterium. RNAcentral's name for it is "partial 16S ribosomal RNA". It matches the Rfam family "Bacterial small subunit ribosomal RNA", at positions 524 to 776 of the family's 1533-position model. The record is from RNAcentral.